AGAGUUUGAUCCUGGCUCAGGAUGAACGCUAGCGGCAGGCCUAAUACAUGCAAGUCGAACGGUGGUAGCAAUACCAUAGUGGCGCACGGGUGCGUAACACGUAUGCAACCUACCUUAUACUUAGGGAUAGCCUUUGGAAACGGAGAUUAAUACCUAAUGGUAUAUUUAGCUGGCAUCGGUUAGAUAUUAAAGAUUUAUUGGUAUAAGAUGGGCAUGCGUCCAAUUAGUUAGUUGGUGAGGUAAUGGCUCACCAAGACGAUGAUUGGUAGGGGAACUGAGAGGUUAAUCCCCCACACUGGCACUGAGAUACGGGCCAGACUCCUACGGGAGGCAGCAGUAGGGAAUAUUGGGCAAUGGAGGGAACUCUGACCCAGCCAUGCCGCGUGCAGGAUGAAGGCGUUAUGCGUUGUAAACUGCUUUUAUAUAGGAAGAAACAGACCUUGCGAGGUAGAUUGACGGUACUAUAUGAAUAAGCACCGGCUAACUCCGUGCCAGCAGCCGCGGUAAUACGGAGGGUGCAAGCGUUGUCCGGAUUUAUUGGGUUUAAAGGGUGCGUAGGCGGUUUAUUAAGUCAGUGGUGAAAGACGGUCGCUCAACGAUUGCAGUGCCAUUGAUACUGGUAGACUUGAGUGUGAUUGAGGUAGCUGGAAUGGAUAGUGUAGCGGUGAAAUGCGUAGA
RNAcentral lists this ribosomal RNA (678 nucleotides) under uncultured bacterium. RNAcentral describes it as "bacterial SSU rRNA". It matches the Rfam family "Bacterial small subunit ribosomal RNA", at positions 8 to 694 of the family's 1533-position model. The record is from RNAcentral.